This 206-nucleotide ribosomal RNA is filed under the name uncultured eukaryote. RNAcentral's name for it is "partial 18S ribosomal RNA". It matches the Rfam family "Eukaryotic small subunit ribosomal RNA", at positions 1299 to 1458 of the family's 1831-position model. The record is from RNAcentral.
UCGUGGAGUGAUUCGUCUGCUUAAUUGCGAUAACGAACGAGACCUCGUCUUACUAAUAGCUCAAUUGAGGCCUAUAUGUAAGGUCCAGGGUUGGAGCAGGGGUUAAACCUUGUGAAGGCUUUGACGCUUUACUGGCCACUCGGAUUAGGGGAUAUCUUCUUAGAAGGACAAAUGGCUUAAGCCAAGGGAAGUCCGAGGCAAUAACA